RNAcentral lists this unclassified non-coding RNA (1575 nucleotides) under Hevea brasiliensis (rubber tree). The record is from RNAcentral. Lineage: Eukaryota; Viridiplantae; Streptophyta; Magnoliopsida; Malpighiales; Euphorbiaceae.
UUCUUGUUGAUAGUUUGUGUUUUAAUAUGGAAAUUCUGCUUAUGUUUACUGAUGAUUGCAUAUUAAAACACAAACUAUCAACAAGAACAGCUUUAUCAUCACACCAAAAUGCAAAAUUCUGUUUCACUUUCCACAACCAACCUCAUGAUUCCAUCCUAAUCAUGAUGGGGAAGAAAGAAGAGAGCUCUGUAUCGUAUCAUUUCGAUACUUUUCAGUUCAUCCUAAACAAUCCUAAUGUCAAGCUGUCAUAUGCUAUAAUUCUAACCGGUAAAAUUUUACACACCAAUCGAUACCUUCCAUAGAGUUCUACAUCUGAAGUUUCUUCCCUUCUAAAAUUCUAUUUACAAACCUCCUAGCCAAGGGGCACAGUUGGACAACUGAAAUUUUACGGUUAUUCGCUUCCAAAGUCAUCAUAACUCACACCUUCUGAUAUAGUGUCCAACCUUUUAUUAUCUCCUUGAUGUUCUCUCUCACGAGAAUCCAAGAAAUUAUCAUUGUCUGAUGCUAGGAAGGGCGAUCUUGGAUAGUUCUCCAAAAUAUCUGAACUCUGAGCAAAAUGAGCUGUCAAAUCAGAGAGACUGAAACUUUGAGGAAUUUGAUCCAGAAAUCCAUAUGAAGAAGUGUCAGCAUCCAAAAGUGGUUCAUUCAGAGCUUGUGAAUUAGAUUCUGCACUACUGAAAGAUGCAACAGAUGCAUCUGGAAUUGAAGGGCGUGCUUCCAGGACAUUGCCAUCAGCACUGAACAUAUAAGGGGAAGUGCCUGGAUAACCAGAUUCAGAUUUGAUCAUUCCCCCAUUUAGUCCUUGCAUCAAACCCAUGUUUGGGCCUUGUGUUGAAAGCAUGUUUUGAGGGGCAUCAAUUCUAGUGGUAUGAGCAGACAUAUCAACAGCAGUGCGCAUACUUGAGUGCAGCGCUGAUCCACCAUUGGUAAAUGCAUUAGUCAUACUGGAACCAAAUGGAUGAUGCAUGUUCUCCGGCUUCAAUGCUGGUCCUGUAUGCUCUGUGGCAUAGCAUGCUGAAUUCUGGUGAAUUGGUGGCAUAUGUGAUCCAUUAGAAGUAGGCAUUGAAACAACUCCGGUUGGAUUUAUCUGACGCAUCAAUCGCACCUGUUGCUCAAGCAACUUGUUAAAUUCUAUUAUUUGGUGCUUCACUGUCAGUCUCAAAUAAUACGCCUUGAAAAAUUCCCGAUUUUCUUCUUCAAGCUUUUGCCAAACAAGUUCAGUGAAACCCGGCUCUAUCUUUGCCUGAGCUAAUAACGUUUCGACAACUUCCCUCUGGUUCAUGUACAAUUGAAGACACCGUUCUAUCAAAUUUUGCACCACUUGUAUAUCUUUGGUUGAGACCCUUCUUGCUGGUCCACUCGACAUAUCUUGAGAUUCUACAGAAAUGAAAGCUAUUUAAGAAAGCAACUGCAAUUCACUUGUUACAGUCUACAGUUGAUCCAGAAAACUUCACACAAUGCCCUUCAGCAUUAAAAAUAUCAUAUGCAAGAGAAAUCUAAACUUGGAUCUUUAGACCUUGAAAUUUGAUUCCUCAUGACUUCCACUACUGAAUUUCCAAAAGCUUCGAAGGGUAU